RNAcentral lists this ribosomal RNA (301 nucleotides) under uncultured bacterium. RNAcentral's name for it is "partial 16S ribosomal RNA". It matches the Rfam family "Bacterial small subunit ribosomal RNA", at positions 509 to 807 of the family's 1533-position model. The record is from RNAcentral.
CAGCAGCCGCGGGAAUACAGAGGAUGCAAGCGUUAUCCGGAAUAAUUGGGCGUAAAGCGUCUGUAGGUGGUUUACCAAGUCUGUUGUUAAAAAUCAGGGCUCAACCCUGAUCCGGCAACAGAAACUAGUAGACUUGAGUACGGUAGGGGCAGAGGGAAUUCUCGGUGUAGUGGUGAAAUACGUAGAUAUCGAGAAGAACACCAAUAGCGAAAGCACUCUGCUGGGCCGAAACUGACAUUGAGAGACGAAAGCUAGGGGAGCAAAAGGGAUUAGAUACCCCGGUAGUCCCUGUCUCUUAUAC